Molecule: ribosomal RNA, 747 nt
Filed under: uncultured archaeon
Lineage: Archaea
Description: bacterial SSU rRNA
Rfam family: Archaeal small subunit ribosomal RNA
Source: RNAcentral
AGUUAACCUAACCUAUGGAUGGGGAUAACCUCGGGAAACUGAGAAUAAUCCCCGAUAGACCACAAUGCCUGGAAUGGUUUGUGGUUGAAAUGAUUUAUCGCCGUAGGAUGGGACUGCGGCCUAUCAGCUAGUUGGUGAGGUAAUGGCCCACCAAGGCUAUAACAGGUACGGGCUCUGAGAGGAGGGGCCCGGAGAUGGGUACUGAGACACGGACCCAGGCCCUAUGGGGCGCAGCAGGCGAGAAACCUUUGCAAUGUGCGAAAGCACGACAAGGUUAAUCCGAGUGUCUUCUGCUAAAGAAGUCUUUUGUUAGUCAUAGAACCACUGAUGAAUAAGGGGUGGGCAAGUUCUGGUGUCAGCCGCCGCGGUAAAACCAGCACCUCGAGUGGUCAGGAGGUUUAUUGGGCCUAAAGCAUCCGUAGCCGGUUGUUUAAGUUUUCGGUUAAAUCUAUGCGCUUAACGUAUAGGCUGCCGAAAAUACUGGACAGCUAGGGAGUGGGAGAGGUACACGGUACUCAAUAGGAAGGGGUAAAAUCCUUUGAUCUGUUGAUGACCACCUGUGGCGAAGGCGGUGUACCAGAACACGUUCGACGGUGAGGGAUGAAAGCUGGGGGAGCAAACCGGAUUAGAUACCCGGGUAGUCCCAGCUGUAAACGAUGCAAACUCGGUGAUGCAUUGGCUUGUGGCCAAUGCGGUGCCGCAGGGAAGCCGUUAAGUUUGCCGCCUGGGAAGUACGUACGCAAGUAU